Molecule: ribosomal RNA, 375 nt
Filed under: uncultured eukaryote
Lineage: Eukaryota
Description: partial 18S ribosomal RNA
Rfam family: Eukaryotic small subunit ribosomal RNA
Source: RNAcentral
CAAUAGCGUAUAUUUAAGUUGUUGCAGUUAAAAAGCUCGUAGUUGGAUUUCGGUUAAGAGCGACCGGUCCGCCGUUUGGUGUGCACUGGUUGGUUUUAACUUCCUGUAGAGGACGUGCUCUGGGUUUAACGACCUGGACUCGGAGUCUACGUGGUUACUUUGAAAAAAUUAGAGUGUUCAAAGCGGGCUUACGCUUGAAUAUUUCAGCAUGGAAUAACACUAUAGGACUCCUGUCCUAUUUCGUUGGUCUCGGGACGGGAGUAAUGAUUAAGAGGAACAGUUGGGGGCAUUCGUAUUUCAUUGUCAGAGGUGAAAUUCUUGGAUUUAUGAAAGACGAACUUCUGCGAAAGCAUUUGCCAAGGGUGUUUUCAUUAA